Molecule: long non-coding RNA, 466 nt
Organism: Helicoverpa armigera (cotton bollworm)
Lineage: Eukaryota; Metazoa; Arthropoda; Insecta; Lepidoptera; Noctuidae
Exons: 3
Source: RefSeq, a predicted model, not a curated record
UAUAAAGUGAUAUGUACAACAGAAAUGUGUUAAUAUUCUACCUGGUACUAUCGAGUAAAGACGUGUGUUUUGUGUAGUGUUCAAUUUUAAUAAAAGCUUCCAAUAAUGGAUCAAGUUGAUGGUGUACAAGGGAAAGGGAUACAAAAACAUGCUUUACAACCGGCAGGCACAAUGAUAAGAGAGUAUUGUGCUAUAACGAAAUGUGACUCGCCUCCGCCCACAUCACCUACGCCUGAGGAAGAAACUUCGAAAGACGAGAAAAAGACCGACUCGUCAUGAUAGCUGAUAGAAAAUUAAAAUUAACAAAAUACUCGUAAGGCCACAAGAUGACAGAUUCGAUGGUGACCAAAAACCUAACAGUAUUAUUUAUUAAACCACCAACAUAAUAUAAUAGUUAUUUCUUAAAUAAACUACUUAUAGCAUAUAUUACAAUAUUAUUAAUUGUCACAUCUUUAAGGCCCAUUUA